RNAcentral lists this ribosomal RNA (1619 nucleotides) under uncultured Oceanospirillales bacterium. Its description in RNAcentral is "bacterial SSU rRNA". It matches the Rfam family "Bacterial small subunit ribosomal RNA". The record is from RNAcentral. Lineage: Bacteria; Pseudomonadati; Pseudomonadota; Gammaproteobacteria; Oceanospirillales.
AAAUANACUNGGCUCCACGCGUUGGGNNGCUCUCNUUUCNCUUUGACCUGCCCGCGGCCGCACUAGUGAUUUGGGUUUGAUCAUGGCUCAGAUUGAACGCUGGCGGCAGGCUUAACACAUGCAAGUCGAGCGGAAACGAAGGUAGCUUGCUACCAGGCGUCGAGCGGCGGACGGGUGAGUAAUACUUAGGAAUCUACCGAGUAGUGGGGGAUAGCCAUUGGAAACGAUGAUUAAUACCGCAUAUAUCCUACGGGGGAAAGCAGGGGACCUUCGGGCCUUGCGCUAUUCGAUGAGCCUGAGUGAGAUUAGCUAGUUGGUGGGGUAAAGGCCUACCAAGGCGACGAUCUCUAGCUGGUCUGAGAGGAUGAUCAGCCACACUGGAACUGAGACACGGUCCAGACUCCUACGGGAGGCAGCAGUGGGGAAUAUUGCACAAUGGACGAAAGUCUGAUGCAGCCAUGCCGCGUGUGUGAAGAAGGCCUUCGGGUUGUAAAGCACUUUCAGCGAGGAGGAAAGGUCAGUAAGUAAUAUUUGCUGGCUGUGACGUUACUCGCAGAAGAAGCACCGGCUAAUUUAGUGCCAGCAGCCGCGGUAAUACUAAAGGUGCAAGCGUUAAUCGGAAUUACUGGGCGUAAAGCGCGCGUAGGUGGUUUGUUAAGUUGGAUGUGAAAGCCCAGGGCUCAACCUUGGAACUGCAUUCAAAACUGACUCACUAGAGUACGAGAGAGGUUAGUGGAAUUUCCUGUGUAGCGGUGAAAUGCGUAGAGAUGGGAAGGAACACCAGUUGGCAARGSSAMYKRMUGGCUCGAUACUGACACUGAGGUGGSRAAGCGUGGGGAGCAAMCGGRWWUAKAYACCCCGGUAGUCCACGCCGUAAACGAUGUCUACUAGCCGUUGGAGGACUUGAUCCUUUAGUGGCGCAGCUAACGCGAUAAGUAGACCGCCUGGGGAGUACGGUCGCAAGAUUAAAACUCAAAUGAAUUGACGGGGGCCCGCACAAGCGGUGGAGCAUGUGGUUUAAUUCGAAGCAACGCGAAGAACCUUACCUACUCUUGACAUCCAGUGAACUUAGCAGAGAUGCUUUGGUGCCUUCGGGAACACUGAGACAGGUGCUGCAUGGCUGUCGUCAGCUCGUGUUGUGAAAUGUUGGGUUAAGUCCCGUAACGAGCGCAACCCUUGUCCUUAGUUACCAUCAUUCAGUUGGGGACUCUAAGGAGACUGCCGGUGACAAACCGGAGGAAGGCGGGGACGACGUCAAGUCAUCAUGGCCCUUACGAGUAGGGCUACACACGUGCUACAAUGGCAUGUACAAAGGGUUGCCAAGCCGCGAGGUGGAGCUAAUCCCAUAAAGCAUGUCGUAGUCCGGAUUGGAGUCUGCAACUCGACUCCAUGAAGUCGGAAUCGCUAGUAAUCGUGAAUCAGAAUGUCACGGUGAAUACGUUCCCGGGCCUUGUACACACCGCCCGUCACACCAUGGGAGUGGGUUGCUCCAGAAGUAGAUAGCUUAACCUGGCUUGCCAGGAGGGCGUUUACCACGGAGUGAUUCAUGACUGGGGUGAAGUCGUAACAAGGUAGCCAAAUAACNGCGGACCANGCGGCCGGGAGCUNGAUGGNCCNUG